GACGAACGCUGGCGGCGUGCUUAACACAUGCAAGUCGAACGGAAAGGCCCUGCUUUUGUGGGGUGCUCGAGUGGCGAACGGGUGAGUAACACGUGAGUAACCUGCCCUUGACUUUGGGAUAACUUCAGGAAACUGGGGCUAAUACCGGAUAGGAGCUCCUGCUGCAUGGUGGGGGUUGGAAAGUUUCGGCGGUUGGGGAUGGACUCGCGGCUUAUCAGCUUGUUUGUGGGGUAGUGGCUUACCAAGGCUUUGACGGGUAGCCGGCCUGAGAGGGUGACCGGCCACAUUGGGACUGAGAUAAGGCCCAGACUCGUACGGGAGGCAGCAGUGGGGAAUAUUGCACAAUGGGCGGAAGCCUGAUGCAGCAACGCCGCGUGCGGGAUGACGGCCUUCGGGUUGUAAACCGCUUUCGCCUGUGACGAAGCGUGAGUGACGGUAAUGGGUAAAGAAGCACCGGCUAACUACGUG
This 468-nucleotide ribosomal RNA is filed under the name uncultured bacterium. RNAcentral's name for it is "partial 16S ribosomal RNA". It matches the Rfam family "Bacterial small subunit ribosomal RNA", at positions 28 to 507 of the family's 1533-position model. The record is from RNAcentral.